UGCAAGUCGAGCGGAUGAAGGGAGCUUGCUCCUGGAUUCAGCGGCGGACGGGUGAGUAAUGCCUAGGAAUCUGCCUGGUAGUGGGGGAUAACGUCCGGAAACGGGCGCUAAUACCGCAUACGUCCUGAGGGAGAAAGUGGGGGAUCUUCGGACCUCACGCUAUCAGAUGAGCCUAGGUCGGAUUAGCUAGUUGGUGGGGUAAAGGCCUACCAAGGCGACGAUCCGUAACUGGUCUGAGAGGAUGAUCAGUCACACUGGAACUGAGACACGGUCCAGACUCCUACGGGAGGCAGCAGUGGGGAAUAUUGGACAAUGGGCGAAAGCCUGAUCCAGCCAUGCCGCGUGUGUGAAGAAGGUCUUCGGAUUGUAAAGCACUUUAAGUUGGGAGGAAGGGCAGUAAGUUAAUACCUUGCUGUUUUGACGUUACCAACAGAAUAAGCACCGGCUAACUUCGUGCCAGCAGCCGCGGUAAUACGAAGGGUGCAAGCGUUAAUCGGAAUUACUGGGCGUAAAGCGCGCGUAGGUGGUUCAGCAAGUUGGAUGUGAAAUCCCCGGGCUCAACCUGGGAACUGCAUCCAAAACUACUGAGCUAGAGUACGGUAGAGGGUGGUGGAAUUUCCUGUG
RNAcentral lists this ribosomal RNA (624 nucleotides) under Pseudomonas sp. Wah3. RNAcentral describes it as "bacterial SSU rRNA". It matches the Rfam family "Bacterial small subunit ribosomal RNA", at positions 56 to 675 of the family's 1533-position model. Lineage: Bacteria; Pseudomonadati; Pseudomonadota; Gammaproteobacteria; Pseudomonadales; Pseudomonadaceae. The record is from RNAcentral.